CAGUCCACACCAUCACACACACACACCCACACACAUCCAUACAGUCCAUACCAUCACACACACCCGCACACAUCCAUACAGUCCACACCAUCACACACACACCCGCACACAUCCAUACAGUCCACACCAUAACACACACACACAUCUAUACAGUCCACACCGUCACACACACACACAUCUAUACAGUCCACACCUGUUACAUGCACACAUCUAUACAGUCCACACCGUCACACAUCUAUACAGUCCACACCGUCAUACACACACACGUCUAUACAGUCCACACUGUCACACAUCCGUACAGUCCACACUGUCAUACAAACACACACACAUCUAUACGGUCCACACCGUCACACAUCCAUACAGUCCACACCGUCAUACAAACACACACACAUCUAUACAGUCCACACCUGUUACAUGCACACAUCUAUACAGUCCACACCGUCACACAUCCAUACAGUCCACACCGUCAUACACACACACAUCUAUACAGUCCACACCGUCUCACAUCUAUACAGUCCACACUGUCAUACACACACAUCUAUACAGUCCACACCGUCACACAUCCAUAUAGUCCACACCAUCAUACACACACACAUCUCUACAGUCCACACCAUCACAUGCACACACACAUCUAUAUGGUCUACACCGUCACACACACACACACAUCUAUACAGUCCACACCGUCACAUAUCUGUACAGUCCACACCGUCACACACACACGCCCACACCCGCAUGCCACACAUCCAUACAGUCCACAUUCACGUAUGCCCAUAUGCAUCCAUUCACACGUGUGUACACAUGCUCACACACACACAUUCAUAGACUCCACACAUGCACACGUGCACACACACGCACAUGCUCGCACACAUGCACAGAUACACUCACGUCCACACACGCUCAAACAUGCGUGCACACCCG
Molecule: long non-coding RNA, 918 nt
Filed under: Homo sapiens (human)
Lineage: Eukaryota; Metazoa; Chordata; Mammalia; Primates; Hominidae
Description: non-protein coding lnc-NMRK2-5:9
Source: RNAcentral